UACGGAGGGUGCAAGCGUUAUCCGGAUUCACUGGGUUUAAAGGGAGCGCAGGCGGGCUGGUAAGUCAGUGGUGAAAGCCUUGAGCUUAACUCGAGAACUGCCAUUGAUACUAUCAGUCUUGAAUAUUGUUGAGGUUUGCGGAAUGGUCAUGUAGCGGUGAAAUGCAUAGAUAUGACCCGGAACACCUAUUGCGAAGGCAGCAGGCUAAACAAAGAUUGACGCUGAGGCUCGAAAGCGUGGGGAUCAAACAGG
RNAcentral lists this ribosomal RNA (252 nucleotides) under uncultured bacterium. Its description in RNAcentral is "partial 16S ribosomal RNA". It matches the Rfam family "Bacterial small subunit ribosomal RNA", at positions 524 to 776 of the family's 1533-position model. The record is from RNAcentral.